GAAAGAGCAGGUGUCGUGUUGACAGAGACGGUCUUAAUGCUUGGUCUGUCGAUGCUGUGACAGUCUCAGUUCCCAACGCUGGGAAUAGCAUUGGCCAGAAACACCUUGGCAGUGGUUCCAAAGAACCAGUUUAGAAGGUCUUCUAAAGAUGUCAUCCUUAGACCUGACCUGGGCAUCAGGCUUUUUGCUCCCUAGGUGAUUCUAAAGGGCAAAGGUUGGGAACUGUUUCGUUAGAGUUAAAGGAAAAAAAUAAGGGAUGGAGUUAUCAUGUGGUUGACGGGGUAUGGAUUUCCAGAGUGGGGGAUAACCCUAAGGUGGCUUAGAAGGAGGUGACCCGGGACAUGAGGACAUGGUUCCCAUGAAACAAGAAGGCUGAGGUUUGAGGUCUCACAGGGGAGGAGGAGAAAGAUGUGGGAUGAUGGUGAUGCAGGAGGGAAGCGGUGGUUUCUGUACGGAGAAGAAAGAACACCUGGAGGUGGCCACGGGCCGACAGGAGGCUAUGGUAUCACUGACGAGAAGACCAUGUGGAUCCACGAUGUGGCGUCCAGAAGAUGAAACACAAACCAAGGCUCCUGCAUCUCAGCAGCUGAGACACGGCCUCGUGGAGCGAGGACUUCCUGCCCAACUCCGUUCACUGCUCACCAGAAGAGGUGGCCUGGGAGGAGGCUGACGCUGGCCAGCACUACAGGCAGGGAAAGGUUUGACAUCUGCAUCACCCAGUGGAGUCCACGAAUUGGAUAAAAUCUUCUACAAAGAGAGAAUGUUGACCGAGAUGAGAAGCCAAAGACGGGGUCUGCUGAGGGAGGAAGAGCUGGCAGAAGGGGAAGUGGUCAUUGGCGUAGAAGGAGUCCAGAUGGAGGUGUAACGCAGAAACCUGGAGAAGAACACACAGCAGGAAGGAGGAACAGGCCAACCAGGUGGAGUGCAGCUGAGAAACUGUCCUACUCCAUACGCAGGGAUUACCAGUGAGGGAGGUGGAAGGAGAAGCGAUUUUUCCUUUCUUGCUGCUUCACCUCACCCACCAGCUACUCUGACUGGUCCUGUCUCGGCCCUUCUGUGCUUAAGGCCUGGUAGUGAGGAAAGCUGUGGGGCAGGAAGGCCUUGUCUGAUCGACAUUUGGCGUGGACACCCUUCCCAGGCACAGAAUUUCAAUGCCAGUUCUGUCUCUUCUGAAGCAUUUUUAUAGAUCCUUCCACGAUCUCCCGUGGGUGAGAAGCUCUCGAAACGCAUCUGGAUGUGUGCCUCAUGACUGCUCACAGUCCACCCCCAUCUGAGGGGUCAGCCUCCCCCAGGGCAGUCCCCUUGGACAGAGUCCAUCCCCAGUCUGCCCCUUUCUAUGGGAUCCUUAUCUGAGCGCAGGACAUACAACUCACGACCAAUGAAACUCUCUACUCCAUGGCUCGUGGGCAGCCAGCUAAAGACUCUCUCUCUCCAGAUGUUGUAUGCAUUUCUUCAUACUCCAGGGGACGCACAAUAACUUCUCUGACAGAGUGGCAGACAGUCCCCUCUCCCACCCACCACCAGGCUCUCCAAACACAGUCUCGGCGUUGGCAUCACUGAGCCCCUCUGAAUCUCCAUUGCUUGGAGGUGGCAAUGGACUAAUGCCAAGACAGGUACCGCUGUCUCUAAGCCUGAUCUGCAUGGAUGACCCCACACCUCCCUUUAAGAUCCUGGAAUAUUUUGCCCCCAGGCUUUGGGCCUUUGCCAGAACUCUGUGAGCAAAAGAAUCCCACUGAAGUGUCCUGUUACAAGCAGAGAUGCUCCUUAACUUAGGAUGGAGCUGUAUUUACCAAAUACACCCUCCCUCCAUAAGCCGAAAAUGCAUUGAAUACCUCUAACCCCCUGCAUAUCACAGUGCCGUGACCCCACCCGCUAGGCAGUCUCAGCUGUCUCUCUCAAGGCCCAGGGCAUGACUGCGAGCUGCUACUGCCCGGUAUCACCACAGAGAAUCAGACUGUGCAGCAAACUUCAGAACUCGGAGCAUGGCUUCUUCUGCAUGCUUAGCAUUCUCUCGCCAUUGUCUGGUGGUUAAGUUGGGGAAGUCUGAACGUGAAGUGCAUGCCUAAGAGUCAGUGCAGCCGCGGUGACCACACUUGGCCUGAAGCUGCAUCUGAGAAAUGUAAGUUGUUCUUUCCAGCACCACACACACCCUUCUUCCUACCUAGUCCUCUGCCUAACACUGCAGAGCAACAGGUGCAGGAGGAAGCAGGGAGCCUACACACUCACUGCACAGGAGCACCUGGCCAAAGGCAUGGGUUGUGCAUGCGAUAUCUUUGCUGUGGACCCCAGCUUGGGGUCAAUCUUGUCCCCAAGGGGCACCUUUUUAUUCAUUUGCAGAAGACCUGGAAAGAAACUACAAAAUCGUGGGGAGUAAUCAGCAGCCCAAACAAUUCCAGUGACUCAGGCCGCGGAGAGAGCAAUACAGAGGGAGUCUGACUUUUCAUUUUAUUCAGGAGUAGGAUGUGACCUCCUAGAGAAAACCCCAGACCACACAGCCUGGGAGUGGAGAGACAGGACGGGCAAGGACACAGCAAAACAAGAAGGAAUGAGCAGAAUUUGAACUGAGUUAAAAAGUCAAUGGGAUGAGUUAACUUAAUUCAAAUGGAGAAGAUAACCUAUCUCCAAUGAUUUUUUCACAUUUCGAAAUAUUAUCUGGCCUGUGUUUCUUUGCAAACAUUCAAGUACAUUACAGAAAUGCUUAUGCGCUCCUUCACACUGACCGGAUUUCUGGCCCAUGGGUUUAGCAAACACCCUUUCCUAGCCUGGAAUGUUUGACCCUUUGAGGUCUAGCCAAAAGGUCUGGCUCAGGAGAUGGCCAAGGGAUGCUAUUUGCCUACGGCUGUGUGGAUGGCAGGAGUCACGGUCGUGUGCAUCUCCUUUAUAUUAAUACUCAGGAAUGACCUAGAUCUUCCUAAGGGGACUUCUGAUGGUGUUGUGAUGGUAAACUCCUGGGAUUGUUUUUCUGCUUGAAAUGUACCUGAACUUGAGGGUGAGAGAGAGCGAAACAGCCAGGGGUGGUGGUGGAAGAGAUUGGCGAUGGUAUUUAAUCUUUCCCAAAAUGUCCAGGUUGCCUGUUGGCUUCUCUCUUUGACAUAACACAAAGUGAAUCACUAUCUCAAGCAAACAGAGAAUGUUUGACAAUUCAAAUAAAACACUGCGGUGGACCACCGUCUGGGUUAGAGGGUAAAAGGAGUUCUGAAGGUAGGCACACUCUUCCCUGGGCUCUCGUGGCAUGUGGCGUUCAGUGUGGCCCCCUUUGGGAAGUUAUACAGUGGUGACACUGACCAAACCGCCACACGGCAAUGCCACUGUCCUGGAAUGACUAAGCUUCCUGAAGCCCUCUCCUGGCAGCGGGGCAGGGAGGGGCUGCCUUGAUUCCAACAAUAUCUGGGGGUCACGUUUUCAACUCGAGUUUCAUGCUAUCCCAUGGCCACAUGGGAUCCUGACCACAGAGGACAGGGCUGGACAGCUCACCAACCACCCACUUCCAUGGUGUAGAACCACACCACCCUGCAGGAGGUGGGGAGAUGCUGCUGCUCCCCACCCUGGCCUUGCAGACUCUCGGUGCUCCUAGCACAAUACCUGUGGGUGGGCUGCAUUCCUUGCCUGGCAUGAGAUCUCUGCCGCACCCUUGCCACACUGUUGUCUAUUGGUACAGGUAGAACUGCUGGACAGAAGGACCUCUCCAGGCACCAUUCAAUCUGGCUCCAAAAACACUGUGAUGACUGACACUCCCAGAAGUAAGAUUUUCUGUCUCCCAUUCUCACCAACACAAGACAUUCAUGUUGUCUGAUUAAUUUUUUCAAAUCUGAUAUGCAAAACAGUGUAUCUCUGUGUAUG
This is a long non-coding RNA of Lepus europaeus (European hare), 3840 nucleotides long. RefSeq lists it as uncharacterized. NCBI's taxonomy places the organism in Eukaryota, Metazoa, Chordata, Mammalia, Lagomorpha, Leporidae. The transcript has 3 exons. The record is from RefSeq and is a predicted model, not a curated record.